Molecule: ribosomal RNA, 404 nt
Filed under: uncultured bacterium
Lineage: Bacteria
Description: bacterial SSU rRNA
Rfam family: Bacterial small subunit ribosomal RNA
Source: RNAcentral
UAGGGAAUAUUGCUUAAUGGGCGCAAGCCUGAAGCAGCAACGCCGCGUGUGCGAUGAAGGCCUUCGGGUUGUAAAGCACUUUUGCUGGGGAAGAGGAAGGACGGUACCCGGCGAAUAAGCCUCGGCUAACUACGUGCCAGCAGCCGCGGUAAAACGUAGGAGGCGAGCGUUAUCCGGAUUUACUGGGUGUAAAGCGCGUGCAGGCGGACCAACAAGUUGGAUGUGAAAGCGCCCGGCUCAACUGGGCGAGGUCGUUCAAAACUGUUGGACUGGAGGAUGGUAGGGGAAGGUGGAAUUCCGGGUGUAGUGGUGAAAUGCGUAGAGAUCCGGAGGAACACCAGUGGCGAAGGCGGCCUUCUAGACCAUACCUGACGCUCAGACGCGAAAGCUAGGGGAGCAAACGG